AGCAGGCUGGGUAGAUGAGAGCUGGAGGUUGCAAGUAGCAGGCUGGGUAGAUGAGAGCUGGAGGUUGCAAGUAGCAGGCUGGGUAGAUGUGAGCUGGAGGUUGCUAGUAGCAGGCUGGGUAGAUGUGAGCUGGAGGUUGCUAGUAGCAGGCUGGGUAGAUGUGAGCUGGAGGUUGCUAGUAGCAGGCUGGGUAGAUGUGAGCUGGAGGUUGCUAGCAGGCUGGGUGUAUGCGUAUGUCUGGUUUAAGGAUGUGGUUCCAUUAGAGUAAUAUGGGGGGGAGCUGGGGUAGGGUGAAUCC
This is a non-coding RNA of Salmo salar (Atlantic salmon), 298 nucleotides long. NCBI's taxonomy places the organism in Eukaryota, Metazoa, Chordata, Actinopteri, Salmoniformes, Salmonidae. The record is from RefSeq and is a predicted model, not a curated record.